GGAAGGAGAUACCAAGCCCACCUACACAACAAACCUCCCCCUCAGUCCUCUCCAGGCUUCUCUCUCCUUCCCCUGAUCCCCCUGCUCCCAGCAGUUCUCAUUCUAAGUGAAUUUGCUGUUUUGACAUCUCAGCUCGGGUUUUCACGUUGUGAUCUGCAAUCAUAUAUCCUUAUAAUGGCUAAUUUUAUGUGUCAACUUGUCCGGGCUAUGGUGUCCAGUUAUUUGGCCAAACACUAUUCUGGAUGUUUCUGUGAACAUAUUUUUGGAUGAGAUUUACAUUUAAAUCAUUAGACCUUGAGAAAAGCAGACUGUCCUUUACAAUGUGGGUGGGCCUCAUCUAAUUAGUUGAAGGCCUGGCUAGAUCAAAAUCUUGGUCUCCUCCAGGAAAGAGGGAAUUUCCAUUUUACUAUUUUAAUUUAUAUUCUCACACAUCUUUUUACCAACCAAGUAAUACUCAGAGCAGAGACUGUUCUAGACCUCUGUCCUCUGGCACAGUACUCCCUCAUAGUAUAUAUUUUAUUGUUGAUGGGAAGAAAGGGAAAUGAUCUUAAAUUAUGGCAGGAGCAAUUUACAUUAAACUCAGGGGAACAUUUUUGUGUGUGGGAGACCUAGAUAGUUGGAAGACCUUUGGUGAGCAGGAGUUCUUUAAGGAAGACACAACUGGAUGACUGUAAUCUUAAAACAGGCUCUUGUGAAGGCCUAGACAGAAGGUCAUGAGAGAGUUCCAUAAAGUAGAGUGAGAGGGUGUUGUAUCACCUUCCCAAGAGACCAUUAGGAACAGGUUAGAUGUCUGUCUAACCAACCUAAGAUGGGGAAUAAUCAUUUCCACAGCAAGAGAUAUGUGUAAGACAGAUGGUUAGAAGCAGCAACUGUGGCUUUUACUUUAGAAAUAGCUCCGACCACUUUCACCAUGACAUAUCCAAUGAUAUACAGCAAUGGCAUCAGAUCCAUUUUUUUCCCAGCAGGCACUUGUGCGCAGAGUUUAACAAUUAAAAGGCACAAAACAUAUGGAGUGAAAAAUAAGUCUCCCAUCCUCUGUGUCCUCCAGGCUCCUAGUUCCUCUCCUUAGAGACAACCAGUGUGGACAGUUUCUUGUGUAUCCCAUGGAAAUUUGUAUGCAUAUACAUACGUGUUUCCUUUUCUUCUCUCACAGAUGGCAAUGUAUUCCACACAGUUUUUCACCUUGCUCUUUUUCACUUUACAUGUUUUGGAGAUUGUUUCACACCACUAACUCUGUAUAAAAAGCCACUUUAUUCUUUCUAACAAUUGCACGGUCCUCCCCUAGUUGUGUACCUAAGUUAACUUAACCAAUGCUCUACUGAUGGAUAUUGGAGUUGUUCUAAUGUUUGCCAUCCUAAAACAAUGGUGCCCUGAAUAACCCUGUCCACGUGCCAUUCUUCUCAUGUAUGUGCAUUUUUGACUUGACUACAAAUGUCCCAAUUGCUUUUUGUAUCAGUUUAUACCCUCCAGUUCACACCAGGAGGCCUGGGGGAGCUCAUGACAUGGAAUAGAGAUGGUUGCUGGCAGCUGCUGUUGCAUUCUCAGGCUCCUGGUCCAUGAAGAGAAACCUUUCUCUACCACCAGCAGGAUAUGAGGCUUUUCAUGAAAAGAAGAGACUCUAGCAAGUUCCUUUGCCCCUGCUAAGGUGAGGUGAUGGUGAGAAGACCAUCAUAUAUGAACUGGGAAGUGGACCCUCACCAGCCACCAACUCUGCCUGUGCCUUGACCUUGUACUUCCAGCCUCCUGUGAGGAAUAAAUUUCUGUUGUGUAUACCCUACCUCAUUUACAGCAUUUUGUUAUAGCAUCCUGAAUAGACUAGACAGGCUAGAGGAAAAUGGGUCACAGACAAGAGUCUUGAGGACUCAAAACUAACAAAUGAUGUACAAAAAAAAAAAAAAAAGACUCUUCUUUAAGCUUCAUUGCUGUGAAUAAUGACUUCAUAAUAUUGGCAAAAAUGAUUGAAGGUCAGUUACAAGUGGAUGUUAUAGGUGGAUUCAAAUGUUUGUGCCUCUAAAGAUUCUUUGAAUAUUCUUCUUGGGAACUGAGUCUCCUUUCCAACCUCGGCACUUACUGCUGGUUGCUUCCCAGGGGCAUAGAGCUGGCUUGGUGUCCCGUCCUACAUCCUCAUGGCAGUCUAAGGGCCACCCCACACCCUGUGUGUCGUGUCUCACAGCACUUGCUACAAGACGUGCCCAGACCUUGGCACUCCAGGAGAGCAGGGGGGAGAGACACGCAAUACUUCUGGAAUCCUGCUGGUCGCCACGAGAAAUUAACUAACCAAACCAAGAAGGCUUUUGUGUUUUUCCAGAGACUAAGCUUUCCUCCUCAAGUUGCAAGCUACUCUUCACGCUUCCAGAUCCAAAGUACAAAUUCUUAUAAAGCGGAGACUCCAGCCCAAUGCUCUUCAGAUGUUUGUUCACGAAGGGGCAAGAGAAAGGAUCUUUUACCUAAAAAUGCCUCCAAAAACGGGAUCGAUCUGGUCAUAGAUGGGCUGAGUGAUGGCUUCGUUCAGAUCUAUUCUUGCAAGAGUCCUGGAGGCAUAGAUGCCAUUUUUCAGGCAAACAGCUUUCAGAGUCUGAUGAAAGCCCUGGUUUCCUCUACUCCUCUAGAAUGCAAAGGAACUGACAAAACUCUUGCCUUCCAACUUUCUAUCAAUGAACAAAGACUGAGACCAAUAUCUGAGGCCAAAGAAUUUUGAGGGAAAAUGCUGGCAAAAGGCUAUCUGAAGGGCUACCCGAGAAGCGCCAACCGGCUCCCUGCCCUGUGUUUGCUGUCGCCUACAGUCUGGCUGCAAGGAUGGUAUUUCAUCCCCACACGGGCUGCCCCUCUGCCUCAGCAGAGGAGAGCAUGAAG
Long non-coding RNA from Felis catus (domestic cat), 2853 nucleotides. RefSeq lists it as uncharacterized. Lineage: Eukaryota; Metazoa; Chordata; Mammalia; Carnivora; Felidae. The transcript has 4 exons. The record is from RefSeq and is a predicted model, not a curated record.